GAUGUGGAUUAAUUCGAUGCAACGCGAAAAACCUUACCUACCCUUGACAUGGUCGGAAUCCUGCUGAGAGGUGGGAGUGCUCGAAAGAGAACCGGCGCACAGGUGCUGCAUGGCUGUCGUCAGCUCGUGUCGUGAGAUGUUGGGUUAAGUCCCGCAACGAGCGCAACCCUUGUCCUUAGUUGCUACGCAAGAGCACUUUAAGGAGACUGCCGGUGACAAACCGGAGGAAGGUGGGGAUGACGUCAAGUCCUCAUGGCCCUUAUGGGUAGGGCUUCACACGUCAUACAAUGGUCGGAACAGAGGGUUGCCAACCCGCGAGGGGGAGCUAAUCCCAGAAAACCGAUCGUAGUCCGGAUUGCACUCUGCAACUCGAGUGCAUGAA
This 382-nucleotide ribosomal RNA is filed under the name Burkholderia contaminans. RNAcentral describes it as "bacterial SSU rRNA". It matches the Rfam family "Bacterial small subunit ribosomal RNA", at positions 938 to 1324 of the family's 1533-position model. The record is from RNAcentral. Lineage: Bacteria; Pseudomonadati; Pseudomonadota; Betaproteobacteria; Burkholderiales; Burkholderiaceae.